UUCCAGCUCCAAUAGCGUAUAUUAAAGUUGUUGCAGUUAAAAAGCUCGUAGUUGAAUUUCGGGAUCAAUACGUCGGUCGUGCUUUCGGGUACGUACUGGCGUCAUUGGUUUCUCCUUUCUGACGAACCAUGAUGUCAUUAAUUUGGUGUUAUGGGGAGUUAGGACUGUUACUUUGAAAAAAUUAGAGUGUUUAAAGCAGGCAUUAGCUUGAAUACAUUAGCAUGGAAUAAUGAAAUAGGACGUUCGAUCCUAUUUUGUUGGUUUCUAGGAUCAACGUAAUGAUUAAUAGGGAUAGUUGGGGGCAUUAGUAUUCAAUUGUCAGAGGUGAAAUUCUUGGAUUUAUUGAAGACUAACUACUGCGAAAGCAUUUGCCAAGGAUGUUUUCAUUAAUCAAGAACGAAAGUUAGGGGAUCGAAGACGAUCAGAUACCGUCGUAGUCUUAACCAUAAACUAUGCCGACUAGGGAUCGGAU
RNAcentral lists this ribosomal RNA (472 nucleotides) under uncultured Glomus. RNAcentral describes it as "SSU rRNA". It matches the Rfam family "Eukaryotic small subunit ribosomal RNA", at positions 583 to 1058 of the family's 1831-position model. Lineage: Eukaryota; Fungi; Glomeromycota; Glomeromycetes; Glomerales; Glomeraceae. The record is from RNAcentral.